GCGAGUUGAGUCCGUGAGUCGAGUCGAGUCGAGUCGAGACGCCUGUCGUUGCCGUUAACGCCGAGCGGAUGAAAAUUUGUACACAGCGAGGCAUAGAUACAUUUUCCACCAUUUUUGUGUUAACGCUAAGAAAAAAACUUGAGCUAAUAGAGACUAUAAAUAACUAGCAAAUAUGUCCCCUAGCCCCCCAGACGAUAGACGCAACCGUGUUGGCAAUUUAACGUACAAUGCCAAAAGUUAAAGCGAAAGGCGACGCCACCAAACGACACAAAUAAAAUGAGGCAAGUGGCCUGCAACUACAACACCAACGGCAAGCAUCGAGACAAGCAGGUUGCAGGCACUCCAGAGCAGAGCAGAACAACCACAGGAGGAGGAGCAAUAGCAGGAGCCACAGCCAGGAUAUCGAACGAGCGAUAAGAUGGAGCGUCCGCUUGGAUGACGACGAACUCAGAGACCCAAAGAAGCUGGCAACGAAAUCAGGCACGAAACUGCUGCUGGAAACUGAUGCCAAAUUAGUGGCAGCAUCCAAAAAUAGCAUCCGCAUAGGGGCAACAAAUAACGAAAAGAAACGAAAUAGAAUCGGAAUCGGAAACGGAAACAUGAACAGUGCGGAUAUUUUGUAAUUAUUAAUGAGCGCAUAGAGAGAGCGAGAGUGAGGGUCUGCUGCCGGAGGAGGAGUGCUGGAGGAGCGGAGGAACCACAAGCGGCGAAACCGAGCGAUAUACGUUGAGGGAUAACACAGCAUGUACAUUCUGCUGGAGCUCAACUAACCCAGAGACACACACCACACACACCACACACACA
Long non-coding RNA from Drosophila guanche, 804 nucleotides. RefSeq lists it as uncharacterized. The transcript has 2 exons. NCBI's taxonomy places the organism in Eukaryota, Metazoa, Arthropoda, Insecta, Diptera, Drosophilidae. The record is from RefSeq and is a predicted model, not a curated record.